Molecule: ribosomal RNA, 339 nt
Filed under: uncultured bacterium
Lineage: Bacteria
Description: bacterial SSU rRNA
Rfam family: Bacterial small subunit ribosomal RNA
Source: RNAcentral
GGGGAAUAACAUCGGGAAACUAGAUGCUAAUACCGCAUACGCCCUUUGGGGGAAAGAUUUAUCGCCGAAAGAUUGGCCCGCGUCCGAUUAGCUAGUUGGUGAGGUAACGGCUUACCAAGGCUCCGAUCGGUAGCUGGUCUGAGAGGAUGACCAGCCACACUGGGACUGAGACACGGCCCAGACUCCUACGGGAGGCAGCAGUGGGGAAUAUUGGACAAUGGGCGCAAGCCUGAUCCAGCCAUGCCGCGUGAGUGAUGAAGGCCUUAGGGUUGUAAAGCUCUUUCACCCACGACGAUGAUGACGGUACCCGGAGAAGAAGCCCCGGCUAACUUCGUGCCA